CAUCACGUGACCAAGCGCCUGACACUGCUUCGCCGCACCGAUCACUCCGACGACGAUUCCAACCAUCUUUCCGGCCUUCCCGUGCCGCUACGCGGUCUUUUGGUGAAUCGAUUGGACUCUCUUGUGUGUACAACCUUGGGUACCUCCUAUUUUUUCACGGUUCAUAAAUCUUUACCAUGACAGAAGGUAAAAGGGUCUCGAUUCCUAACUCUGAUUAUUCGUCCUCCGUGCCACAUCUAAUUUUGUAAAGUCAGGUAAUGCUUCCUCUCUUAAUAAUGUUCCAUGGAUUAUUGAUUCUGGUGCGAAUAGACACAUGACAAACUCUUCUAAAGGCUUUCUCAAUUAUUUUCUUUCUGUAACCGAAGAUAGUGUCAGAAUUACUGAUGGCUCUUUUACUCCUAUAUUCGGAACGGGUUCUGUUAUUUGCACAUCCAACAUUAAAUUAUCAUAUGUCCUUCAUGUUCCCCACUUUCUUGUCAACCUUUUAUCUGUCAGUGCUAUCACCAAUGCCCUUAAUUGUAAAUUUGAAUUCUUUCCUGAUCAUUGUGUUAUUCAAGAUCUUCGCACAGAAAAGAGGAUUGGCAAUGGUAGGUUGCAUGAUGGCUUAUAUAUGUUGGAGGGUGAUCCAGGUUCUUCGAUAUCUCAAACCUGUUUUGGAGAAAAUAAGAAUGUCAAUCAAGAAAUAAUACAGUAGCACAAACGGUUAGGGCAUCCAUCAUUUUUUGCCUUAGAAAAACUUUAUCCUAAUUUGUUUGCUAGAACUCAGUUUGAUUCUCUAUUUUGUGAUGCUUGUGAGUAUGCUAAACACACUAGAACAUCCUAUUCUUUGAGUCAUAAUAAAAGUCAAAUUCCUUUUGCGACUAUUCAUUCUGAUGUUUAGGAGCCUACUCAAACUAUCUCCUUAUUUGGUAAUCGAUGGUUUGUCACCUUUAUUAAUUGUUGCACUCGAAUGACUUGGGUCUAUUUGAUUAAAGCUAAAAGUGAUAUCUUUUCUUGUUUUUAAUCCUUCAUAAGAUGGUUUGUACUCAAUUUGAUACUAAGGUGAAAAUUUUGAGAACUAACAAUGGAAGAUAAUACAUGGAUAGUAGUUUUUCUGCUUAUUUGGAGAGUAAUGGAAUAGUACACCAGACUAGUUGUCCUUAUAUUAGUGCUCAAAAUGGCGUUGUUGAGAGGAAAAAUAGGCAUCUAUUGAAGGUAGCUCGAUCUCUUAUGUUUACCAUGAAUCUACCCAAAGCAUAUUGGGGAGAUGCAAUCCUUGCAUAUGCUUAUCUUAUCAAUAGAAUGCCUCUCAAGACCUUUGACUUUAUUAGUCAUUUGGUGAUUCUACAAGGAAAGAAUUCAUACGUUGUUCCACCAAAAGUAUUUGGGUGUGUUUGCUUUGUCCAUACUAGGACAGCAGGAAAAUUGGAUCCCAAGGCCCUUAAAUGUGUGUUUGUUGGGUAUUCUCCAACACAGAAGGGAUACAAAUGUUAUUGUUGACUUAUUUGCUGAUCCUAACUGAUUCUAGGGAUAUGAUUUGAUUUGAUUAGGAUCCUUAAUUAUCUCUGUAAUUAUUAUUUGAUUAUUUACUUCCUGUUUAGAUAUAAUUCUUUGUGUAUAAAUAGUCAUAUAAACCAAUUGUAAAGAUUAAGAGUGAAAUACAAGAAUUCUCUAAAUUUUCCCAAAAUUCUUCAUGGUAUCAGAGCCUUUUCCUGAUUUUAGGGUUCAAAUUUAAUUUUUUCCUCUUUAGGGUUUCAAAACCCUAGAUCUACCUUUUUUGGUACUAACCCAUUUAGGAGUCUUUCCUCCUCUCACCGCCGACACCAGGACUGUCGUCGGCCGAUCGCCCAGCUCCGACGUCGAAAAAGCCCGCACGUGAGGCUCACACGGCUCCCUUUCCCGGCACAUGACCAAUCGCUUGACGCUGCUUCGCGGCUCCAAUCACUUCGGCGAUGAUUUCGACCAUCUUUUCGGCCUUCCCGUGCCGCUACCCGAUCUUUUGGUGAAUCGGUUGGGCUCUCUUGUGUGUACAACCUUGGGUACCUCCUAUUCUUUCACGAUUCACAAAUCUUUACCAUGGCAGAAGGUAAAAGGGUCUCGAUUCCUAACUCUGAUUCCUCGUCCUCCAGUGCCACAUCUAACUUUGUAAAGUCAGGUAAUGCUUACUCUCUUAAUAAUGUUCCAUGGAUUAUCGAUUCUGGUGCGAAUAGACACAUGACAUGCUCUUCUAAAGGCUUUCUCAAUUAUUUUCCUUCUCUAACCCAAGAUAGUAUCAGAAUUGAUGAUGGCUCUUUUACUCCCAUAUCCGGAACAGGUUCUGUUACAAGAAACUACCUAACAGUAAAAGAAGAAAUAUUCAAUGACAAGAACCAGCAACUCAGCAGCAACCCAGCAAAUAAUAACCAUUAAUUGUUCAUAAAUUCUAAAAAUCAAC
Molecule: long non-coding RNA, 2413 nt
Filed under: Manihot esculenta (cassava)
Lineage: Eukaryota; Viridiplantae; Streptophyta; Magnoliopsida; Malpighiales; Euphorbiaceae
Description: long non-coding RNA (MESC_LNC005248)
Source: RNAcentral